GAUGCCGAUUUACAGACGGCCAUUCCUUUCAUGUCUUCUCGCUGGAUCUGAAGAAGAUGAUUUACUAGCCUAUACUUCCCCCAACCCCUCCGUAGAAUGGUUUGAUCCAGGUUAUUCCAAUACAUGGUACAUGAAGGAUGAGGAUAAUGAUGGGCGAGACGACUAUUGCAGAUGUAUUGGUAGUGUGCCCUCUACGUUGGUUGUCUGUAUGAAA
This is a long non-coding RNA of Strongylocentrotus purpuratus (purple sea urchin), 214 nucleotides long. RefSeq lists it as uncharacterized. Lineage: Eukaryota; Metazoa; Echinodermata; Echinoidea; Camarodonta; Strongylocentrotidae. The transcript has 2 exons. The record is from RefSeq and is a predicted model, not a curated record.